AAGUUGAUGAGAAUUUGGAUAAAGAUCAUAAGUUGAAGAGGAUGAUGGCUUUAGCUUUUAGAUCCAUUUGAUUUCUAACAUAUAUGUCAAGCCUCUUGGUUCAGGCUCCAUCUCUCUAACUAGUAUUGGUAAAAGUCAUGUUCCUUGAGUGCUGCACAUAUAAAUUAGCACAAAUCGAUGUUGAAGUAAAAGACUAUAGUUGAC
Molecule: long non-coding RNA, 204 nt
Filed under: Elaeis guineensis (African oil palm)
Lineage: Eukaryota; Viridiplantae; Streptophyta; Magnoliopsida; Arecales; Arecaceae
Description: long non-coding RNA (EGUI_LNC013249)
Source: RNAcentral